GGGGAUUAGCUCAGUUGGUAGAGCACCUGCUUUGCAAGCAGGGGGUCAUCGGUUCGACUCCGUUAUCCUCC
Molecule: transfer RNA, 71 nt
Filed under: uncultured Succinivibrio sp.
Lineage: Bacteria; Pseudomonadati; Pseudomonadota; Gammaproteobacteria; Aeromonadales; Succinivibrionaceae
Rfam family: tRNA
About the family: Transfer RNA (tRNA) molecules are approximately 80 nucleotides in length. Their secondary structure includes four short double-helical elements and three loops (D, anti-codon, and T loops). Further hydrogen bonds mediate the characteristic L-shaped molecular structure. tRNAs have two regions of fundamental functional importance: the anti-codon, which is responsible for specific mRNA codon recognition, and the 3' end, to which the tRNAs corresponding amino acid is attached (by aminoacyl-tRNA synthetases). tRNAs cope with the degeneracy of the genetic code in two manners: having more than one tRNA (with a specific anti-codon) for a particular amino acid; and 'wobble' base-pairing, i.e. permitting non-standard base-pairing at the 3rd anti-codon position.
Source: RNAcentral